Long non-coding RNA from Homo sapiens (human), 1373 nucleotides. The record is from Ensembl. Lineage: Eukaryota; Metazoa; Chordata; Mammalia; Primates; Hominidae.
AUUGGCGGGAAACUCAUCCACCUCGGCCUCUUCCUCUGUGAUAGGCACCACCGCGCGGGCCAGGCUGGCACUGAGGGCCUCCAGUUUCUCCACUGGGCUCUCUGAGUCCAGCGCGUAGGUGCCCUCACUGGCUUUCCCCUCUGCUUGGGCCUGACCCUCAGCUUGAGGGGAUAGUGAACGUUGAGCGACUGGCAGAGGCUGAAGUUCAUCAAUGAAGCCCAGUAGGGUGCUGUAGAAUUAGGUGAAGGUGGCCAUGACUCUGUAGUCCACGUCUGUCCGGUGGUCGUGGGAGAAAGCACAGGGGGUGAUCCACACGAUGGGCUGUGCCAGCACCUCAGCCUGGUAGUAAAUGCGUUUGAUGGACAGGAAGACCUUGCUCGGGGCACAGGCAGCGAUGAUGUAAUACGUGAACUCCGCUGCGAGCCUGCAGCACAGCGGAACGAUCUGCACAUGGCACUUGUCAGUCCGGGGGAAGGUGGAAAAGAGGAAGCACGUGGAGAAGGCGGAGCCGCCCAGGUCCCCCCGGGCGUCGAUGAAUGUGGGGUACCAUUCCUUGAUGAUGUGGUCAUGUUUGUAGUCGGCCUUAUUGUCCUUUAGAUGUUCCACGGUGUUCCGCUCGCUCUUCUCAUAGGCCUCCCGGGGCUUCCGGACAGACACCUUGCAUUCUCGGACCUUGUUGACGAUGAAUUCUUGGAUGAGAAACCUGAUAUCUUCCAUGAGGCAGUCAUCAUAAAGAAGUCUGAAUAUCUUGGUUGAGAGCUAGACUUUGGAAACAGAGAGACCCUGUAUAAUAACAGACUAAGAAGUAAGGAAGACAAGCCCAGCCAGUCCCACAACUAUUUCAUUAAUACCAGGUAAAGCAACAGACCUGCCAGUGAAGCAUCUUGGAUCCUUUAGCUUUAGGCUCAUAGGUGGAAGGAACUUAUCUCAAAUGAAGUUUUGUACCAUGGACUUUUGUGUUAAUGGAGAAAUGAGUUAAGACUUUGGGUAAUUUUUGAACAGCAUGAUUGGUUUUGAAAUGUGAGGACCUGAGAUUUGGAAGAGGUCAGGGGUGGAAUGAUAUGGUUUGGCUGUGUCCCUAACCAACUCUCAUCUUGAAUUGUAGCUCCCAUAAUCUCUGUAUGUCAUGGGAGGGACCCAGUAGGAAGUAAUUGAAUCAUAAGGGCAGGUCUUUCCUGUGCUGUUCUCAUGGUAGGGAUUAAGUCCCAGAAGAUCUGAUGAUUUUGUAAAGAGCAGUUCCCAUACACAGAUUCUCUUGUGUGCCGCCGUGUAAGACAUGCCUUUGCUCCUCCUUUGCCUUCAGCCGUGGUUGUGAGACCUCCCCAGUCAUGUGGAACUGUGAGUUCAUUAAACCUCCUUUUCUUUAUAAAUUA